UGGGGAAUAUUGCACAAUGGGCGCAAGCCUGAUGCAGCCAUGCCGCGUGUGUGAAGAAGGCCUUCGGGUUGUAAAGCACUUUCAGCGAGGAGGAAGGUGGUGAGCUUAAUACGCUCAUCAAUUGACGUUACUCGCAGAAGAAGCACCGGCUAACUCCGUGCCAGCAGCCGCGGUAAUACGGAGGGUGCAAGCGUUAAUCGGAAUUACUGGGCGUAAAGCGCACGCAGGCGGUUUGUUAAGUCAGAUGUGAAAUCCCCGGGCUCAACCUGGGAACUGCAUUUGAAACUGGCAAGCUAGAGUCUCGUAGAGGGGGGUAGAAUUCCAGGUGUAGCGGUGAAAUGCGUAGAGAUCUGGAGGAAUACCGGUGGCGAAGGCGGCCCCCUGGACGAAGACUGACGCUCAGGUGCGAAAGCGUGGGGCAGCAAACAGGAUUAGAUACCCCUGGUAGUCCACGCUGUAAAACGAUGUCGAUUUUGGAGGUUGUGCCCUUGAGGCGUGGCUUCCGGAGCUAACGCGUUAAAUCGACCGCCUGGGGGAGUACGGCCGCAAGG
Molecule: ribosomal RNA, 551 nt
Filed under: uncultured bacterium
Lineage: Bacteria
Description: partial 16S ribosomal RNA
Rfam family: Bacterial small subunit ribosomal RNA
Source: RNAcentral